This 902-nucleotide ribosomal RNA is filed under the name uncultured bacterium. Its description in RNAcentral is "bacterial SSU rRNA". It matches the Rfam family "Bacterial small subunit ribosomal RNA", at positions 8 to 916 of the family's 1533-position model. The record is from RNAcentral.
AGAGUUUGAUCAUGGCUCAGGACAAACGCUGGCGGCGUGCCUAACACAUGCAAGUCGAGCGGAGAUAAUGGUUGAGUAAUCGGCGAUUAUUUUAGCGGCGGACGGGUGAGUAACGCGUGAGCGACCUGCCUUUUACAGGGGGAUAACGGAGGGAAACCUUCACUAAUACCGCAUGAGACCCCUCAGCCGCAUGGCAGAGAGGUUAAAGGAUUAGAUCCGGUAAGAGAGGGGCUCGCGUCCGAUUAGGUAGUUGGUGAGGUAAGGGCUCACCAAGCCAACGAUCGGUAGCCGACCUGAGAGGGUGAUCGGCCACAUUGGAACUGAGAACGGUCCAAACUCCUACGGGAGGCAGCAGUGGGGAAUAUUGGGCAAUGGGGGGAACCCUGACCCAGCGACGCCGCGUGAGGGAAGAAGGUUUUCGGAUUGUAAACCUCUGUCCUUGGUGAAGAGAAGAAGACGGUAGCCAAGGAGGAAGCCCCGGCUAACUACGUGCCAGCAGCCGCGGUAAUACGUAGGGGGCGAGCGUUGUCCGGAAUGAUUGGGCGUAAAGGGCGCGUAGGCGGCCGUGCAAGUCUGAAGUGGAAGUCCAUUUUUCAAGGGUGGAAUUGCUUUGGAAACUGCGCGGCUGGAGUGCAGGAGAGGUUAUCGGAAUUCCCGGUGUAGCGGUGAAAUGCGUAGAGAUCGGGAGGAACACCAGUGGCGAAGGCGGGUAACUGGACUGCAACUGACGCUGAGGCGCGAAAGUGUGGGGAGCAAACAGGAUUAGAUACCCUGGUAGUCCACACUGUAAACGAUGAAUGCUAGGUGUAGGAGGUAUCGACCCCUUCUGUGCCGCAGUAAACACAGUAAGCAUUCCGCCUGGGGAGUACGGUCGCAAGAUUAAAACUCAAAGGAAUUGACGG